UACGAAGGCAGCAGUGGGGAAUAUUGCACAAUGGGCGAAAGCCUGAUGCAGCUAUGCCGCGUGUAUGAAGAAGGCCUUAGGGUUGUAAAGUACUUUCAUCGGGGAGGAAAAAACAAAACUAAUAAUUUUAUUUCUUGACGUUACCCGAAAAAGAAGCACCGGCUAACUCCGUGCCAGCAGCCGCGGUAAUACGGAGGGUGCUAGCGUUAAUCAGAAUUACUGGGCGUAAAGAGCACGUAGGUGGUUUUUUUAAGUCAGAUGUGAAAUCCCUGGGCUUAACCUAGGAACUGCAUUUUGAAACUGAAAUACUAGAGUAUCGUAGAGGGAGGUAGAAUUCUAGGUGUAGCGGUGAAAUGCGUAGAUAUCUGGAGGAAUACCUGUGGCGAAAGCGGCCUCCUAAACGAAUACUGACACUGAGGUGCGAAAGCGUGGGGAGCAAACAGGGAUUAGAUAC
Molecule: ribosomal RNA, 454 nt
Filed under: uncultured bacterium
Lineage: Bacteria
Description: bacterial SSU rRNA
Rfam family: Bacterial small subunit ribosomal RNA
Source: RNAcentral